CCUACGGGAGGCAGCAGUGAGGAAUAUUGGUCAAUGGGCGCGAGCCUGAACCAGCCAAGUAGCGUGAAGGAUGACUGCCCUACGGGUUGUAAACUUCUUUUAUAAAGGAAUAAAGUGAGGCACGUGUGCCUUUUUGUAUGUACUUUAUGAAUAAGGAUCGGCUAACUCCGUGCCAGCAGCCGCGGUAAUACGGAGGAUCCGAGCGUUAUCCGGAUUUAUUGGGUUUAAAGGGAGCGUAGAUGGGUUGUUAAGUCAGUUGUGAAAGUUUGCGGCUCAACCGGAAAAUUGCAAGUCAGACUGGCAGCCUUGAGUACAGUUGAGGUAGGCGGAAUUCGUGGUGGAGCGGUGAAAUGCUUAGAUAUCACGAAGAACUCCGAUUGCGAAGGCAGCUUACUAAACUGCCACUGACAUUGAUGCUCGAAAGUGUGGGUAUCAAACAGGAUUAGAUACCCUAGUAGUC
Molecule: ribosomal RNA, 460 nt
Filed under: uncultured bacterium
Lineage: Bacteria
Description: partial 16S ribosomal RNA
Rfam family: Bacterial small subunit ribosomal RNA
Source: RNAcentral